Long non-coding RNA from Tyto alba (common barn owl), 1883 nucleotides. RefSeq lists it as uncharacterized. The transcript has 2 exons. NCBI's taxonomy places the organism in Eukaryota, Metazoa, Chordata, Aves, Strigiformes, Tytonidae. The record is from RefSeq and is a predicted model, not a curated record.
GGGGAAGAGCCGGGUGCGCGCGACCCGGGCGGCCCCGCGCGCCGCUCCGCGGGGCCUCGCGCGCGGCGGGCGGCACCGGCCCCCCCGGAACAGCAAAAAACACGCGGGCAGCUCUGAUUUAUGGAAGUACCUGAAGAGCCCGGAGCUGGGCCCACGCUCCCGAGGGAUGCUGCUGGGAAGCUCACCCCGAGAAGGGGACAGGCUACCCAAACCUUGGACAAAGCUGUAGAAAUCACACAAGACAGAUGGUGUCAAGAGUCAGGUCAGGCACGGUGGCACGCACUGGUAAGGUUUAACCUUUAUUUCCCUCCCCAAAAAUGGAAUUUAUUUCUACGUGACAACUUACAAACUGAUGUUAAGUAUGUGCCUGAGCUUUGCUCCUGCGGCCCCAUCCACUCCUGUGAAAAUGCCUGAAGAGGAGGAACAAGGAAUUGCCAGGUUGUUUAAUCUUUUACUCUUUGCCACUUGACAGAUGGUAACUCCCAACAAUUACUAAUCCAAAAGAAACACGGAAGAGGAUCUUGUGGCUCGGAUAGAAACGAGUUUUUAAGAAGCUUGUGCUUCCCAGUGCUGAGCAGACGGGAAUUAUCGUGCAAGUACUGUUCCCUGAACACAGGGAAUGAUGCCAGGGAUAGCACCAGAGGUGGGGGGGUUAGUGUGCAGGCCUGGGAGAGGAGGGACGAUUACCUGAAAAAAAUCUACACUAGAACUGGAAAUCAUUUCCAAUCCUAUUUUUAAAUUUUGUUCCCAGCCUCAGUUACCUCAUCUGUAACUCAGGAGUAGUAAUUUUUACCUGCCUUUUGGCCAACUCCUUCAGGUUCAUCCUAGAGUCUUAGUUUCUUUUGUGCCAGGCAGAUUUCUAGAAAAGCUUUGUGGAAAUAAAAAGCAGCAUUACCCCUGUGACAGGGACAUGGGCCUCAGGGGGGUGGGAGCCCACAAGCCCCAGAAAGGCCAGCUCGAAAGUUAAAGCAAUGGUCAAAACUCUGAAAAUAAAUGCCAGUUCAGACAGCUUUAUCAAUCAACCCACUUUUAUUAUUAUUUAGUUGGAAAUACAGGGUUUUUUUUCUUUUUAGAACACUUGGCAGCUGAAUAUUAGCGACACUUUUCCAAUCAACUUUGCUCGACUGGCCAGCAAAGGUGUCAGUAAGCUAAACUGAGUCCACCAUCUUGCAACUAACACUCCUUUGCACUUCAAAUACUGCCAUAAAUAAGUCCUGGAGAACCUCGUGUUGUGCGAGAUACCAGCCAGCAGCAGCCUGCCAGCACCAGCCCUGCCACCGCUGCCGAGCCCCCCAAGUCCACCGGCUGCGUGGAUGUGGUCAUAGCUCAGGUUUGAUUCAGAAUUCUGGUAUUUUAGGACACAGAUGCGGUACAUCCUGAAGUGGUCUUAGGCAAGUAAAUGCAGCUUUAAGCAUUAUUCUUCUGUGGCAGGUCGGUUCCUUGACUGGUGGGUUACCGAGUCCUCCGCCGCACUCUCUCCUGCAAGAAGCACAGCUUUGCCUUUCAUAGCCGGGCCCAGCGUCACCCACGGGCCCGGCUGGAGGCCUGUUCGCAGGCAGGACGUGCUGGGGAUGGGCGCUGUGGCAAAAGGAGCCUUGGUGGAGGCAUCUCAGAGACCUCAACCAGCACUGGUGGCUGAGCGAGCUCAGGCUGGGGGGACCUGGUGCCCAGUUGCGUCUGAGCUGUGAAAGAGCUGGCUCUGGCAGGGGAAAAGGCAUCCACCCUCAGCCUGUGAAUCAGCCAGCUUGUUCUAGGGGGAGUUUUUACAAGUUUGCAAAGCUCUGGUGGAUAAAGGCUCCAGAUUCAGAUGCAGGCUGCUGCAAGUUCACACAUCUUCCUAACCUUCCUUUUAAAAAAAAAAAUAAAAGAAAAAUGAAAAAUAA